UUCAGUUGGUUAGAACGCUGGCCUGUCAAGCCAGAGGUCGCGGGUUCAAGUCCCGUCCGCUCCGCCA
RNAcentral lists this transfer RNA (67 nucleotides) under Elusimicrobia bacterium CG_4_10_14_3_um_filter_49_12_50_7. Its description in RNAcentral is "tRNA-Asp". It matches the Rfam family "tRNA", at positions 11 to 71 of the family's 71-position model. Rfam says of the family: Transfer RNA (tRNA) molecules are approximately 80 nucleotides in length. The record is from RNAcentral. Lineage: Bacteria; Pseudomonadati; Elusimicrobiota.